GAUGAACGCUGGCGGCGUGCUUAACACAUGCAAGUCGAACGGAAAGGCCCUGCUUUUGUGGGGUGCUCGAGUGGCGAACGGGUGAGUAACACGUGAGUAACCUGCCCUUGACUUUGGGAUAACUUCAGGAAACUGGGGCUAAUACCGGAUAGGAGCUCCUGCUGCAUGGUGGGGGUUGGAAAGUUUCGGCGGUUGGGGAUGGACUCGCGGCUUAUCAGCUUGUUGGUGGGGUAGUGGCUUACCAAGGCUUUGACGGGUAGCCGGCCUGAGAGGGUGACCGGCCACAUUGGGACUGAGAUACGGCCCAGACUCCUACGGGAGGCAGCAGUGGGGAAUAUUGCACAAUGGGCGGAAGCCUGAUGCAGCAGCGCCGCGUGCGGGAUGACGGCCUUCGGGUUGUAAACCGCUUUCGCCUGUGACGAAGCGUGAGUGACGGUAAUGGGUAAAGAAGCACCGGCUAACUACGUG
RNAcentral lists this ribosomal RNA (468 nucleotides) under uncultured bacterium. RNAcentral describes it as "partial 16S ribosomal RNA". It matches the Rfam family "Bacterial small subunit ribosomal RNA", at positions 28 to 507 of the family's 1533-position model. The record is from RNAcentral.